GACCACAAAGGGAUAAAUAGAAAACAUCUGGAAUGAACUAUUUGAGAGAAGCAAAGGGAAAAAAAGAGUAUGGUUUGCAAGUGAAACAAAGUACAGAUGAUUUGGCUUGAUUUAGGCCAAGCCAAACACACACAUUAAACAUUGCACUUGGCCACAGUGAAUGGAGGGAGCAGUGGCCAACAUUGCAUCAGACACACAUUGUGGAUGGAGGAAAUGAGGUUUCUGAAUCCUGCAUUCAAAUCAGAACAACAAAGCUGCAGGCUGUGGGCAUUAUUUGUGUUUCCAGAAUGGAUCUGAGAGUGUGAGUGAUCCUGGGUGAGAUAAGGAAAGCCAAUCUUUAAGCUGGAAUUUCUAACACUAUCACAAAUAAGCAGAAUGGAAUCCAGAGGAGCUGCCCCCAAGGCAACCAGAUUUCAAGUC
This 420-nucleotide long non-coding RNA is filed under the name Monodelphis domestica (gray short-tailed opossum). RNAcentral describes it as "lncRNA (ENSMODG00000047879.1)". The record is from RNAcentral. Lineage: Eukaryota; Metazoa; Chordata; Mammalia; Didelphimorphia; Didelphidae.